Photinus pyralis (common eastern firefly) is the source of this 1406-nucleotide long non-coding RNA. RefSeq lists it as uncharacterized. The record is from RefSeq and is a predicted model, not a curated record. NCBI's taxonomy places the organism in Eukaryota, Metazoa, Arthropoda, Insecta, Coleoptera, Lampyridae. The transcript is spliced from 4 exons.
CGUUGCAACUGCAAAGAGAGAAAAAAAAGACCUAGUAUUGGCUGGGGUGGCCGGAGGGGAGGCGAGCGGCGGUCGGCGACGGCGUCGGGUCGGUAUUCAGCAGAAUAAAAGCGCGGAAACAUAAAUUUUAAGAUUUCAUCAUUUGUUAUGUAUCAAUAAAACCUUAUUCACAUUCAUAGCAUUUUUCUAUGCGUUUGUUGUGAUUCAUGGGUUAGAAAAGUAGGGCAGGUGGGGCCCCACUCUGAAAACCGCCCCAGGCCUCAUAGACCCUUAAUCCGCCACUGGCAAUUAUGAAGCAUCCGCAAUCCGAUUUCAAUAAGUGGGUAUGUGGAUAUAUAGACAGGUGGCUCAGGGAUACAAGGUGCUGUGUCCAUGCGCGCAUAAUUUGCAGUUUAAUGAAAAGCGUGACAUUUUAUUGUAUAUGGAACCCUUCUUUGGCGAUCAUUUUAUAUGGCUGUUAAGUAAAAUUAUUUUGUAAUAAAAACCUUUUUAGACGAUAUCAAACUUCAAUGGAGGAUUGUCUUCAUCAUGGUUAAACGGCGUUCGGAUUUAUUAUUAUUAUUAAUAUCUAUACUUUACAUUUAUUGAUGAGGAGUAGAGGAUAAUAUACCUACAGUUGUGAUAAAUAAAUGCGAUAACAUUGUGAAAUAUUACCUACUCGGUGCCGCCACCAAACGCCAGGGCGUAGUUGGCGUAUAGGGAAAUCCGCCGCAGGUGUAAUCCUUUGAACCACCUGACACGAAUUCUUCUUCAAUCUCUCAGAACCUUCAGCUUCUAAUUCAGCCGUCUAAAAAUUUACCUGUUAGCGGAUUGGGUUGUCCUUCCGCUGAUAUAUAGAUUACAUAUAGAGUCCGUGUCAUAAUACUGGACACGAUCACCUAUUGAAGAUAAUACACUUAGACGCAUGAAAAUGCUGUGAUAAGCCAAGCUUCUAAAUUCCAAACCAGGAUAGAGAUGAAGGCCUGCCGUAUUCACUGUCAACAAGUGGGCUCUACGUUCGCGUGCUGGGUGAGAUGAGGUGCCUGAACACUUGUUUUACGGAAGAAAUGAUAAUACCCUAAUCACUACAUCUUAUAUUAUUUUAGGUAAGGGCUUAGUCAAAAUGGAGUGGAUAAGUAAAACAAAACAAAAUUUAAUGGGUUUAUUAGUUCUGGAAAAAAAUUCAUUGAAGUAUACAUUAUAAUUGAAACGAUAACCACUUAGAUAGAACACCCAGUAGGUGUUUUCGAGUUCCAGGUCUUUGAACCUCCUGUUCAUGUAUAUCCCAUUUUCUAAUUUUAAAAUAGCAACAUUUUCCUAAAUAAGAGCUAAUUAAAAUACGGUAUAAACAAUCGUAGCCCGUAGGUAGUUCUCGUUCUGCAAAUAUAUGGUUAAACGUGUGAUAGAUAUGUGGCGUAUUUACCCAU